GGUUCCAUCCCAGACUCCAGUCAGUCUCCCUGCAGCUUCAAGUGGCAUCAAAGAGGGUUCUUGCUCUGGGAAAAGCAGCAAGAGACAUCUCUGAAUCAGACUUGGUCCAAAACCAGGAGUCUGUAUUCUGUCCAAAACCAGAAAUCUGUGACUUCUCCUGAUCCCUCUGUAGCAGUCAUGUGACAAGAUCGUUCUGGAGACUGGGAAGUGCAAGAUCAAGGCACCAGCAGAUUUCACAUCAGGUGAGGCUUGCUCUCUGCUUCCAAUAUGCAUCCCCAUAUGGCAGAAGGCUCAAACACUGUGUGCUCAUAUGGCAAAAGGAACAUAAGGGCAAAAAGGGCAAAAAGAACUAACAGAUUCCCUCAUGCCUUUUUACAAUGAUACUAAUUCAAUUCAUAAGGGCAAAGUCCUCACAACCUAAUAACCACCUAAAGGCCCCACCUCUUAAUACUAUUGCAUUAAGUUUCAAUAUGAAUUUUGGAGAGACACAUUCAAACCAUAGCUUAAUUUAGUUUAUUUAGUCUUUCAAAUCACUGACAUAAAGGUAAACUACUAUAAGCUCGUGAUUUUUAAGCUUGUUUCCCAAACUAUAAAAAUUAUGUUGCCAUUACUUAAGAUUUAUGAAGCUCCUAAUUGAUCGUGUGCCUCUAGAAUAACCAAUUUACAGAUACUUGGAUUAAUGAGUACAUAUCCAACAAUUUCAACAAUUUCAUCGUUUUUCUUCUGUUUUAAUCAUUUGCUGUACUCCUUUUGUCUUUUUUUCAGGGUAUGAGUAUGUGUAUUUGGUAGUUUUCUUAGUUACAAUACAAAUACUUGCCACAAUGGGUAUGAACUAUAAAGUGAGAUCUGUGACUAGCUUA
RNAcentral lists this long non-coding RNA (860 nucleotides) under Homo sapiens (human). RNAcentral's name for it is "novel transcript". The record is from RNAcentral. Lineage: Eukaryota; Metazoa; Chordata; Mammalia; Primates; Hominidae.